RNAcentral lists this transfer RNA (62 nucleotides) under Eotrechus petraeus. Its description in RNAcentral is "tRNA-Leu". Lineage: Eukaryota; Metazoa; Arthropoda; Insecta; Hemiptera; Gerridae. The record is from RNAcentral.
UAUGGCAGAAAUAUAUGCAAUGAACUUAAGAUUCAUUUAUAAAGAAAUAUCUUUUAUUAGAA